UACGUAGGUGGCAAGCGUUACUCGGAAUCACUAGGCGUAAAGCGCAGGUAGGCGGUUCGGUAAGUCUCUUGUGAAAGCUCCCGGCUCAACUGGGAGAGGUCAAGGGAAACUACCGGGCUAGAGUGUGGCAGAGGAAGCUGGAAUUCCCGGUGUAGCGGUGAAAUGCGUAGAGAUCGGGAGGAACACCAAAGGCGAAGGCAGUGUCCUGGGGAGUACCUGACGCUCAGGUGCGAAAGCCAGGGGAGCGAACGGG
This 253-nucleotide ribosomal RNA is filed under the name uncultured bacterium. RNAcentral's name for it is "partial 16S ribosomal RNA". It matches the Rfam family "Bacterial small subunit ribosomal RNA", at positions 524 to 776 of the family's 1533-position model. The record is from RNAcentral.